GGCAUGGGGACGGCGAUCUCCCCACGAGGCCACGGCCGAAGCAUCGCGUUCCAAGCCUCAAGCAGGAGGGACGCGCCAUG
Regulatory RNA element from Lutibaculum baratangense AMV1, 80 nucleotides. It matches the Rfam family "chrB-a RNA". NCBI's taxonomy places the organism in Bacteria, Pseudomonadati, Pseudomonadota, Alphaproteobacteria, Hyphomicrobiales, Tepidamorphaceae. The record is from Rfam.